This 465-nucleotide long non-coding RNA is filed under the name Homo sapiens (human). Its description in RNAcentral is "novel transcript". Lineage: Eukaryota; Metazoa; Chordata; Mammalia; Primates; Hominidae. The record is from RNAcentral.
AGUCUCUCCGUAGAGAGAAUACGAUAACUGAAGAGGGCUUUAUAUGCUGAGAUGAAAUUUAGUUUGUUCAAAUCCGUAAUGAAUUGCCAUCGGGAAAGGAAUUUUCUAGAGAGAUCUUAGUCAUCUAAUUUGCGGCUGGCCUACUUGACCUUUUUCUUCUUUACUCCUGAAUCUUGUUUAUAAAAAAUGCAAUGUAAUAAAAUAUAAUUUAUAUUGUAUGUAAUAUAAAUUAUUUAUACCUCUGUGAAUAUAUAUGAUAAACAAAUGAAUAUAUACAAUGUAAUGUUAUAUUACAUCAUGGGUCAUUUUCUUCCUAAACUAUAAUCAUUUUUACAGUUUUAAACCAAAAAGGUAGUGAAAAUAAGCGAGCCCAUAUUAAAUUUCUAGGAAGUAUCCCUAAAUUGUUUCCUCAGUCUUUUGACUUAUUUCACAUGGAAUCCUAACAUACGUGGUUGUCUGUUUUUC